RNAcentral lists this ribosomal RNA (432 nucleotides) under uncultured bacterium. RNAcentral's name for it is "partial 16S ribosomal RNA". It matches the Rfam family "Bacterial small subunit ribosomal RNA", at positions 29 to 507 of the family's 1533-position model. The record is from RNAcentral.
AGCGAACGCUGGCGGCAGGCCUAACACAUGCAAGACGAACGAACUCUUCGGAGUUAGUGGCGGACGGGUGAGUAACACGUGGGAACGUGCCUUUUGGUUCGGAAUAACUCAGGGAAACUUGUGCUAAUACCGAAUGUGUCCUUCGGGGGAAAGAUUUAUCGCCAUAGAGCGGCCCGCGUCUGAUUAGCUAGUUGGUGAGGUAACGGCUCACCAAGGCGACGAUCAGUAGCUGGUCUGAGAGGAUGACCAGCCACACUGGGACUGAGACACGGCCCAGACUCCUACGGGAGGCAGCAGUGGGGAAUCUUGCGCAAUGGGCGAAAGCCUGACGCAGCCAUGCCGCGUGAAUGAUGAAGGUCUUAGGAUUGUAAAAUUCUUUCACCGGGGACGAUAAUGACGGUACCCGGAGAAGAAGCCCCGGCUAACUUCGUG